UGAACACACAGGUCAAAGGUCAAAGGCUUUCUAAAGACAUGGAAACUCUUUGUCUCCUGUUUGGACGAUGGAGCUGAUGUUCAGCUCCCACUUGAGGUGAUGAAGGAGACCAGGAGACGGAAGGAAUCCACAGUGGUGACGGGGGAGUCACACGGGGUGAUGGGGGAGGGCGGGACUUCCUGAGAUCCACAACCAUCUCCACUGUCUUCACAGCGUUGAGCUCCAGGUUGUUCUGGCUGCACCACGACACCAGACCUGUAGGUGGACUCGUCCCCACCAGAAAUCAGUCCAAUGAGGGUGGAGGAGCUUGACGGACUGGUGGCUGGAGGUGCAGCUGUUGGUGCACAGGGAGAAGAGCAGAGGGGACAGAACGCAGCCGUUGGGGGGAACCGGUGCUGAUGGUCCGAGAGGCUGAGACAUGUUUCCCCAGCUUCACCUGCUGCUUCCUAUCGGACAGGAAGUCAGUGAUCCACUUGCAGGUGGAGUCGAGCACGUGCAGUUGGGAGAGUUUGUCCUGCAGCAGAGACGGGACGAUGGUGUUGAAAGUCCACAAACAGGAUCCUGGCGUAGGUUCCUGAGGAGUCCAGAUGCUGGAGGAUGUAGUGGACGCCAUGUUGACUGCGUCACUGAACCGCAGGGGGUCCAGAAGGGGUCGGUAGAGGUUUUGAGGUGGACUUCUCCGGGCGGAGGUCGCUCGUUGGGUGGGGGGCUUUGGCUUGUAGCUGGUGGUCCGUCUGAGGCCUCUCCAGACGUGUUGGACAGUCGUUAGCAGACUCUUUAUAUAAGUGCCCGUCCCCCGUCCCUUUUCAUCAUCUGAAGGAAAUACAAAAUGGAAUCGAGCAGUUAGAAAAGAGAAAGAAGAGUAACUGUAUCAUUAUAAUCAUUCAGUCAGUGGGUUCCUCAUUUCAUCUUUGUGUGUUUUUCUGAGAACUGGUCGACGUGGCGAAGGGGUAGAGAGGGUGUGCAGGGAACUGCAAGGUUUGUGGUUUGAGCCCCGGCUGCUCCAUGUUGAAGUGUCCCUGAGCAAGACACCUGACCCCUAAUUGCUCCCUGGGCAAAAAUGUAAAAAUCCAUUUGUUAAAAAUGUAAUGUAAGUCGCUUUGGAUGAAAGUCAGCUAAAUGACCUGUAAUGUAACUGAAGUGUCUUGGUGAGACGCCGAUGACGCAACGCUGUGGCUCUGCUAUUGGACAAGAGACACCAGCUGACCAGAACAGCUGAUUCCAUCAUCAACAGCACCAAACAGCGGCAGCUCAGAGGAGUGAUGAGAAAUAAACCACAGGCAUCAUGGAGACAUCGUCUCACAGACUGAACGCACACUAAAGCUUCAACACGUUGGAAUCAAACUGCAUCAGAAUCACUUCCUCUGUCCUCUGAGGGACAAAAGUGAUGCAAACCUCUUGGAUCUUCAGAUGAAUCUCAAACUCACGGCUCCAUUUUGCAACAAGACGACAAUUUAGACUGAAGAUUCUAUUCAACUUUAUUGUUGUUGCACAAAGUACAAAUACUGAGAUGAUGAAGGGCAGAUUAAACAGGAGAGCAGAGUGAAGCACAUAUAACAUUGUGUAAUAUAAUAAUGUACAUAUAACAUUGUGUAAUAUAAUAAUGUACAUAUAACAUUGUGUAAUAGAAUAAAGCACAUAUAACAUUGUGUAAUAGAAUAAAGCACAUAUAACAUUGUGUAAUAUAAUAAUGUACAUAUAACAUUGUGUAAUAUAAUAAUGUACAUAUAACAUUGUGUAAUAUAAUAAUGUACAUAUAACAUUGUGUAAUAUAAUAAUGCACAUAUAACAUUGUGUAAUAUAAUAAUGUACAUAUAACAUUGUGUAAUAUAAUAAUGCACAUAUAACAUUGUGUAAUAU
Molecule: long non-coding RNA, 1860 nt
Organism: Gasterosteus aculeatus aculeatus (three-spined stickleback)
Lineage: Eukaryota; Metazoa; Chordata; Actinopteri; Perciformes; Gasterosteidae
Source: Ensembl